RNAcentral lists this ribosomal RNA (483 nucleotides) under uncultured bacterium. Its description in RNAcentral is "partial 16S ribosomal RNA". It matches the Rfam family "Bacterial small subunit ribosomal RNA", at positions 28 to 507 of the family's 1533-position model. The record is from RNAcentral.
GACGAACGCUGGCGGCGUGCUUAACACAUGCAAGUCGAACGCUGAAGCUCAGCUUUUGUUGGGUGGAUGAGUGGCGAACGGGUGAGUAACACGUGAGUAACCUGCCCCUUUCUUUGGGAUAACGCCCGGAAACGGGUGCUAAUACUGGAUAUUCACUGGUCUUCGCAUGGGGGUUGGUGGAAAGGGUUUUUCUGGUGGGGGAUGGGCUCGCGGCCUAUCAGCUUGUUGGUGGGGUGAUGGCCUACCAAGGCUUUGACGGGUAGCCGGCCUGAGAGGGUGACCGGUCACAUUGGGACUGAGAUACGGCCCAGACUCCUACGGGAGGCAGCAGUGGGGAAUAUUGCACAAUGGGCGCAAGCCUGAUGCAGCGACGCCGCGUGAGGGAUGGAGGCCUUCGGGUUGUGAACCUCUUUCGCUCAUGGUCAAGCCGCAACAAUGGUUGUGGUGAGGGUAGUGGGUAAAGAAGCGCCGGCUAACUACGUG